Molecule: ribosomal RNA, 372 nt
Filed under: uncultured organism
Description: bacterial SSU rRNA
Rfam family: Bacterial small subunit ribosomal RNA
Source: RNAcentral
CGUAGGAGGCAAGCGUUAUCCGGAUUCACUGGGCGUAAAGCGCGUGCAGGUGGCGCGGUAAGUUGGGCGUGAAAUCUCCCGGCUCAACUGGGAGAGGUCGUUCAAUACUACCGUGCUCGAGAGCAGAAGAGGAAGAUGGAAUUCCCGGUGUAGUGGUGAAAUGCGUAGAUAUCGGGAGGAACACCAGUGGCGAAGGCGAUCUUCUGGUCUGUUUCUGACACUCAGACGCGACAGCUAGGGUAGUAAACGGGAUUAGAGACCCCGGUAAUCCUAGCCGUAAACGAUGUGAACUUGGCGUUGGUGGGUUAAACUCCAUCAGUGCCGUAGCAAACGCGAUAAGUUCACCGCCUGGGGACUACGGCCGCAAGGUUA